CAUAAAAAAUCCAGCGCGAAGUCGUGGUGAUAGCAACGCACGCGUGAGUGAAGAAGGAUUUCGGUUCGUAAAACUCUGUUGUAAGGGAAGAACAAGUACAGUAGUAACUGGCUGUACCUUGACGGUACCUUAUUAGAAAGCCACGGCUAACUACGUGCCAGCAGCCGCGGUAAUACGUAGGUGGCAAGCGUUGUCCGGAAUUAUUGGGCGUAAAGCGCGCGCAGGUGGUUUCUUAAGUCUGAUGUGAAAGCCCACGGCUCAACCGUGGAGGGUCAUUGGAAACUGGGAGACUUGAGUGCAGAAGAGGAUAGUGGAAUUCCAAGUGUAGCGGUGAAAUGCGUAGAGAUUUGGAGGAACACCAGUGGCGAAGGCGACUAUCUGGUCUGUAACUGACACUGAGGCGCGAAAGCGUGGGGAGCAAACACGAUUAAUGACCCUGGUAGUCCACGCCGGUAAACGAUGAGUGCUAAAUGUUAGGUGGGAU
RNAcentral lists this ribosomal RNA (484 nucleotides) under uncultured Lysinibacillus sp. Its description in RNAcentral is "bacterial SSU rRNA". It matches the Rfam family "Bacterial small subunit ribosomal RNA", at positions 358 to 833 of the family's 1533-position model. Lineage: Bacteria; Bacillati; Bacillota; Bacilli; Caryophanales; Bacillaceae. The record is from RNAcentral.